This 274-nucleotide ribosomal RNA is filed under the name Enterococcus faecalis. Its description in RNAcentral is "partial 16S ribosomal RNA". It matches the Rfam family "Bacterial small subunit ribosomal RNA", at positions 1 to 252 of the family's 1533-position model. Lineage: Bacteria; Bacillati; Bacillota; Bacilli; Lactobacillales; Enterococcaceae. The record is from RNAcentral.
UUAUUAUGAGAGUUUGAUCCUGGCUCAGGACGAACGCUGGCGGCGUGCCUAAUACAUGCAAGUCGAACGCUUCUUUCCUCCCGAGUGCUUGCACUCAAUUGGAAAGAGGAGUGGCGGACGGGUGAGUAACACGUGGGUAACCUACCCAUCAGAGGGGGAUAACACUUGGAAACAGGUGCUAAUACCGCAUAACAGUUUAUGCCGCAUGGCAUAAGAGUGAAAGGCGCUUUCGGGUGUCGCUGAUGGAUGGACCCGCGGUGCAUUAGCUAGUUGG